AAUCAUCCGCAAUGGGCGAAAGCCUGACGGUGCGACGCCGCUUGAACGAUGAAGGUCUUCGGAUUGUAAAGAUCUGUUGUGAGGGAAGAACAAGUACCGUAGUCACUGCCGGUACCUUGACGGUACCUGACGAGAAAGCCACCGCUAACUCCGUCGCAGCAGCCGCGGUAAGCCGUAGGUGGCAAGCGUUGUCCGGAUUUAUUGGGGGUAAAGCGCGCGCAGGCGGUCUUUUAAGUCGGAUGUGAAAUCUUGCGGCUCAACCCCAAGCGGUCAUUGGAAAAUGGAGAACUUGAGGACAGAAGAGGAGAGUGGAAUUCCACGUGUAGCGGUGAAAUGCGUAGAGAUGUGGAGGAACACCAGUGGCGAAGGCGACUCUCUGGUCUGUAACUGACGCUGAGGAGCGAAAGCGUGGGUAGCGAACA
This 422-nucleotide ribosomal RNA is filed under the name uncultured bacterium. RNAcentral's name for it is "partial 16S ribosomal RNA". It matches the Rfam family "Bacterial small subunit ribosomal RNA", at positions 360 to 774 of the family's 1533-position model. The record is from RNAcentral.